GGAGUUGUGGCUCAGUGGUAUAGCGCUUCCCCAGCAUGUAUGAAGCACUGGGUUUGAUUCUCAGCACCA
Molecule: transfer RNA, 69 nt
Filed under: Marmota monax (woodchuck)
Lineage: Eukaryota; Metazoa; Chordata; Mammalia; Rodentia; Sciuridae
Description: tRNA.Ala
Source: RNAcentral